RNAcentral lists this ribosomal RNA (552 nucleotides) under uncultured bacterium. RNAcentral describes it as "bacterial SSU rRNA". It matches the Rfam family "Bacterial small subunit ribosomal RNA", at positions 81 to 612 of the family's 1533-position model. The record is from RNAcentral.
CAACCUGAGUAGAGCGGCGCACGGGUGCGUAACACGUGGGUAAUCUGCCUUAGAGUCGAGGAUAACUUUCCGAAAGGUUAGCUAAUACUCGGUAAGCUUACGGUGUCUUCGGACAUUGUGAGAAAAGUAGGCCUCUAUUUAUAAGCUUACGCUCUGAGAUGAGCCCGCGGCCCAUCAGCUAGUUGGCGGGGUAACGGCCCACCAAGGCAACGACGGGUAGCUGGUCUGAGAGGACGAUCAGCCACACUGGAACUGAGACACGGUCCAGACUCCUACGGGAGGCAGCAGUGGGGAAUUUUCCACAAUGGGCGAAAGCCUGAUGGAGCAACGCCGCGUGUGUGAUGAAGGUUUUCGGAUCGUAAAGCACUUUCGACCGGGACGAAAAACCUCUGGCUAACAUCCAGGGGCCUGACGGUACCGGGAGAAGAAGCACCGGCUAACUCUGUGCCAGCAGCCGCGGUAAUACAGAGGGUGCAAGCGUUGUUCGGAAUUAUUGGGCGUAAAGCGCGUGUAGGCGGCUUGGCAAGUCAGAUGUGAAAGCCCUCGGCUUAA